AUAUAUAUAUAUAUAUUAGGGGUGCAACAAUACUCGUAUCGAUAUUGAACCGUUCGAUACGGUGCUUUCGGUUCGGUACGCAUUUGUAUCGAACAAUACAAAAUUUGUAAUUUAUUUUAUCAACUUUCCUUCUGACGAUGCUGUCUGUGUUGAGUACUCAGUGGCUCUGCGCUCGACAGUGCAGCCUAGGCGGAGUAGUCGAACGCAGAUUCACUGAGCGCAGGGCAAGCUAGCGAGACAGAAGUUAAGCUCUCCUUGCAACAUGGCAAAGUGAACCUUCCCCACCCUCAUUCAGAUCUGGCGUUUGGAACUAUUUUGGUUUUCAUGUGACGUAUGACCCUGAAGGUAAGCGCGUCAUGGACUAAAGUAAAACAGUAUGUUGGAUGUGCCACAAUGCUCAAUUACAUGGGUGGGAGCUAGUGUGUUAGCGCAGUUAGCUCGUUAACGUGUUGGCCGUCCAGCCCCACGCACGGGGCGAUCCGCGGUAGCUCGUUAACGGAGAUUUGCCGUGUUGUGGCGUUAACGUCAUUUCAACGAGAUUAACGCUGACAGCACUAGUGGGAACACAACGAAUAUGACUGCACAUUUACGCCGACAUCAUCCUAGUGCAAAGACAAGUGGAAGCAGACAAAAACAACAAGCACGCAUGCUACAAACUUUACCCAAGUCAUUUAGACAGCCGUUAGCACAUGAUUCUCCUUAUGGGGACCUGAUAUGUUUAAUAUGCUGCUGAGAGUAUAGCCCAGAAGAAGCGGAUAGUAUAGCUUUUAUUUUGGAAAGAGCCAUUUCUCUGUAAUAAACUCUCUUUUCCAAAGAUGAGUAAUUCCUCAAUCAGAUACAGGGCUCGCAAAAUCGACAACGUCCCGACCAAAUAAGACAGGUCAGGGUGAAGAAGUGACAGCCAAAGAAAAGCUUACCACAAAACGGAAAAGUUAUGACAAAUCAGACUAUAAGGCAAAAAUAAAGUGCAGCUUUAUGGUUUCAUGGACAAAAGAAUUUCUGUGGCUGCAAUAUUACGAGCUAAAUAAUAACCAGGGCUGCACAUAAGUGGUCCGCAGGUGCGCAUUCGCUGUCAAAAUAAAAAACGUGCACAAGAUAAGAAGUUGCAACGCGUGUUUGCGUACAUAAGAUUUUCAGGAGGAGGACAGACAUUUGUUUAGAACUCUUAAAGAUGUCGAAGAAGCUCCUUUAAGCAAUUACUGUGAUGUUCCUCCACCUCCAAAGAAAUGUCAGGAGUCCGAACCACAAAAGAAGCGGAAAAGUAUUUGCAGGAGGUGAGCUGGCUUCAAACAAAUGAUGGACGCACAGAGAUGUGGUGCGGAAUGUGCCGUGAAAAUUUAAUCAAUGACAAAUUAAAAAGGCAUGAACAUUUUUUUUUGUAUCGAAAAAAUAUCGAACCGUGACACCAAAGUAUCGAACUGAACCGUGAAUUUUGUGUAUCGUUGCACCCCUAAUA
Astatotilapia calliptera (eastern happy) is the source of this 1456-nucleotide long non-coding RNA. The record is from Ensembl. NCBI's taxonomy places the organism in Eukaryota, Metazoa, Chordata, Actinopteri, Cichliformes, Cichlidae.